CAGAACGAACGCUGGCGGCGCGCUUAAGCAUGCAAGUCGAACGGCAAGAGGUAGCAAUACCUCCUAGAGUGGCGGACUGGUGAGUAACACGUGGGUGACAUACCCUUCAGAUGGGGAUAGCUAUUAGAAAUAGUAGAUAAUACCGAAUACGAGCACAGGGGUUAGAGAUCUGUGAGGAAAGGAGCUAAGGCUCCGCUGAAGGAAUGGCCUGCGGCCCAUUAGCUAGUUGGUGAGGUAAGAGCCCACCAAGGCGAUGAUGGGUAUCCGGCCUUAGAGGGUGAACGGACACAUUGGGACUGAGAUACGGCCCAGACUCCUACGGGAGGCAGCAGCUAAGAAUAUUCCGCAAUGGACGAAAGUCUGACGGAGCGACGCCGCGUGGAUGAAGAAGGCCGGAAGGUUGUAAAAUCCUUUUGAAACUGAAGAAUAAGCGUUGUAGGGAAUGACAGCGUGGUGACAGUAGGUUUUGAAUAAGCAACGGCUAAUUACGUGCCAGCAGCGGC
Molecule: ribosomal RNA, 503 nt
Filed under: uncultured bacterium
Lineage: Bacteria
Description: bacterial SSU rRNA
Rfam family: Bacterial small subunit ribosomal RNA
Source: RNAcentral